AACCUUCGGGGAACGAUAACGGCGUCGAGCGGCGGACGGGUGAGUAAUGCCUAGGAAAUUGCCCUGAUGUGGGGGAUAACCAUUGGAAACGAUGGCUAAUACCGCAUAAUGCCUACGGGCCAAAGAGGGGGACCUUCGGGCCUCUCGCGUCAGGAUAUGCCUAGGUGGGAUUAGCUAGUUGGUGAGGUAAUGGCUCACCAAGGCGACGAUCCCUAGCUGGUCUGAGAGGAUGAUCAGCCACACUGGAACUGAGACACGGUCCAGACUCCUACGGGAGGCAGCAGUGGGGAAUAUUGCACAAUGGGCGCAAGCCUGAUGCAGCCAUGCCGCGUGUGUGAAGAAGGCCUUCGGGUUGUAAAGCACUUUCAGUCGUGAGGAAGGUAGUGUAGUUAAUAGCUGCAUUAUUUGACGUUAGCGACAGAAGAAGCACCGGCUAACUCCGUGCCAGCAGCCGCGG
RNAcentral lists this ribosomal RNA (457 nucleotides) under Vibrio rotiferianus. Its description in RNAcentral is "bacterial SSU rRNA". It matches the Rfam family "Bacterial small subunit ribosomal RNA", at positions 75 to 520 of the family's 1533-position model. The record is from RNAcentral. Lineage: Bacteria; Pseudomonadati; Pseudomonadota; Gammaproteobacteria; Vibrionales; Vibrionaceae.